Molecule: long non-coding RNA, 300 nt
Organism: Pongo pygmaeus (Bornean orangutan)
Lineage: Eukaryota; Metazoa; Chordata; Mammalia; Primates; Hominidae
Exons: 3
Source: RefSeq, a predicted model, not a curated record
CAAAUAAAAAGCAAAUCAUUUUAUUUAAAUUGUUGGCAGGUCAACACUACUAUAUUGGAAUUUCUUAUUUAGAAUUCAUCCAGGACUGGAAGCACCUGAUGUGCUGAAACUUUUCUGCUUCUCUGAACUAUGUUUUAGAUCUUGACUUCUCCUGGAUGAUAAUAAAAGUGUUUAUGCAUAUUGGUUUGGCAAGAAACCAGAUAAGCAGCUCAUGUAGAAUAACUUGGCAAAGGAAACCUCUGCUUCUGAUGACCAACAGGACAGACACUAAGUAAAUGAGUAUUAAAAGUGAGCAAGCAG